UGGGGAAUUUUGGACAAUGGGGGCAGCCCUGAUCCAGCCAUGCCGCGUGAGUGAAGAAGGCCUUCGGGUUGUAAAGCUCUUUCGGCCGGAACGAAAUCGCGCGGGCAAAUAAUCCGCGUGGAUGACGGUACCAGAAUAAGAAGCACCGGCUAACUACGUGCCAGCAGCCGCGGUAAUACGUAGGGUGCAAGCGUUAAUCGGAAUUACUGGGCGUAAAGCGUGCGCAGGCGGUCGCGUAAGCCAGAUGUGAAAGCCCCGGGCUUAACCUGGGAAUGGCAUUUGGUACUGCGUGGCUAGAGUGCGGCAGAGGGAGGUGGAAUUCCUGGUGUAGCAGUGAAAUGCGUAGAUAUCAGGAGGAACACCAGUGGCGAAAGCGGCACCCUGGCAUUGACCUGACGCUCAGGUGCGAAAGCGUGGGUAGCGAACGGGAUUAGAUACCCCGGUAGUCCACGCUGUAAACGAUGAAUACUAGGUGUGGGUGAUAUCAAAUUAUCUGUGCCGAAGCUAACGCGAUAAGUAUUCCGCCUGGGGACUACGGCCGCAAGGCUA
Molecule: ribosomal RNA, 549 nt
Filed under: uncultured bacterium
Lineage: Bacteria
Description: bacterial SSU rRNA
Rfam family: Bacterial small subunit ribosomal RNA
Source: RNAcentral